GGGCCCGCACAAGCGGUGGAGUAUGUGGUUUAAUUCGAUGCAACGCGAAGAACCUUACCAGGGUUUGACAUCCUGCGAAUCUCUUGGAAACAGGAGAGUGCCUUCGGGAACGCAGUGACAGGUGGUGCAUGGCUGUCGUCAGCUCGUGUCGUGAGAUGUUGGGUUAAGUCCCGCAACGAGCGCAACCCACGUCUUUAGUUGCCAGCAUUUAGUUGGGCACUCUAGAGAGACCGCCGGUGACAAACCGGAGGAAGGUGUGGAUGACGUCAAGUCAUCAUGCCCUUUACGUCCUGGGCUACACACGUACUACAAUGCUACGGACAAAGAGCAGCUAACUCGCGAGAGUGCGCAAAUCUCAUAAACCGUGGCUCAGUUCAGAUCGUAGGCUGCAACUCGCCUACGUGAAGGAGGAAUCGCUAGUAAUCGCAGGU
This 431-nucleotide ribosomal RNA is filed under the name uncultured bacterium. RNAcentral's name for it is "bacterial SSU rRNA". It matches the Rfam family "Bacterial small subunit ribosomal RNA", at positions 917 to 1349 of the family's 1533-position model. The record is from RNAcentral.